UGGGGAAUAUUGCACAAUGGGCGCAAGCCUGAUGCAGCCAUGCCGCGUGUGUGAAGAAGGCCUUCGGGCUGUAAAGCACUUUCAGCGAGGAGGAAGGUGGUGAGCUUAAUACGCUCAUCAAUUGACGUUACUCGCAGAAGAAGCACCGGCUAACUCCGUGCCAGCAGCCGCGGUAAUACGGAGGGUGCAAGCGUUAAUCGGAAUUACUGGGCGUAAAGCGCACGCAGGCGGUUUGUUAAGUCAGAUGUGAAAUCCCCGGGCUCAACCUGGGAACUGCAUUUGAAACUGGCAAGCUAGAGUCUCGUAGAGGGGGGUAGAAUUCCAGGUGUAGCGGUGAAAUGCGUAGAGAUCUGGAGGAAUACCGGUGGCGAAGGCGGCCCCCUGGACGAAGACUGACGCUCAGGUGCGAAAGCGUGGGGCAGCAAACAGGAUUAGAUACCCUGGUAGUCCAGCGCUGUAAACGAUGUCGAUUUUGGAGGUUGUGCCCUUGAGGCGUGGCUUCCGGAGCUAACGCGUUAAAUCGACCGCCUGGGGAGUACGGCCGCAAGGUUAAAACUCAAAGGAAUUGACGGGGUC
This 576-nucleotide ribosomal RNA is filed under the name uncultured bacterium. RNAcentral's name for it is "partial 16S ribosomal RNA". It matches the Rfam family "Bacterial small subunit ribosomal RNA", at positions 355 to 920 of the family's 1533-position model. The record is from RNAcentral.